AGUGAACGCUGGCGGCAGGCCUAAUACAUGCAAGUCGAACGGCAGCACGGCAGAGCUUGCUCUGUGGGUGGCGAGUGGCGGACGGGUGAGGAAUACAUGGGAAUCUGCCCAGUCGUGGGGGAUAACGUAGGGAAACUUACGCUAAUACCGCAUGCGCCCUUCGGGGGAAAGCCGGGGACCUUCGGGCCUGGCGCGAUUGGAUGAGCCCAUGUCGGAUUAGCUAGUUGGCGGGGUAAUGGCCCACCAAGGCGACGAUCCGUAGCUGGUCUGAGAGGAUGAUCAGCCACACUGGAACUGAGACACGGUCCAGACUCCUACGGGAGGCAGCAGUAGGGAAUAUUGGACAAUGGGGGCAACCCUGAUCCAGCCAUGCCGCGUGAGUGAAGAAGGCCUUCGGUUGUAAGACUCUUCGGUCCGGACGGAAAUACGUAUGGGUUAAGUACCUCGUGCGGAGUGACGGUACCGGCGAUAAGAAGACACCGGCUAACUAACGUGCCGAGCAGCCGG
This 507-nucleotide ribosomal RNA is filed under the name uncultured bacterium. RNAcentral's name for it is "bacterial SSU rRNA". It matches the Rfam family "Bacterial small subunit ribosomal RNA", at positions 30 to 518 of the family's 1533-position model. The record is from RNAcentral.